This 543-nucleotide ribosomal RNA is filed under the name uncultured archaeon. RNAcentral describes it as "bacterial SSU rRNA". It matches the Rfam family "Archaeal small subunit ribosomal RNA", at positions 336 to 879 of the family's 1478-position model. The record is from RNAcentral.
CGGGCGCGAAACCUUUACAAUGCACGCAAGUGUGAUAAGGGAACCCCAAGUGAUAAUGCAAAUGCAUUAUCUUUUGCUUAGAGCAAAUAUCUAAGCGAAUAAGUGGUGGGCAAUACCUGUGCCAGCCGCCGCGGUAACCCAGGAGCCACAAGUGGCAACCACCUUUAUUUGGCCUAAAGCGUCCGUAGCCGGUUUUGUAAAUUCUCUGUGAAAUCGUUGCGCUUAACGUAACGGCGUGCAGAGAACACUGCAAAACUAGGGACCGGGAGGAGUUGGAGGUAUUCUGGGGGGAGCGGUAAAAUGCUAUAAUCCCCGGAGGACCACCUGUGGCGAAAGCGUCCAACUAGAACGGAUCCGACGGUGAGGGACGAAAGCUAGGGGAGCAAUCCGGAUUAGAUACCCGAGUAGUCCUAGCCGUAAACGCUGUGAGCUAGGUGUUGCACAAUCUUCGGGAUUGUGCAGUGUCGUAGUGAAGAUGUUAAGCUCACCGCCUGGGGAGUACGGUCGCAAGGCUGAAACUUAAAGGAAUUGGCGGGGGAGCAC